Molecule: ribosomal RNA, 381 nt
Filed under: uncultured eukaryote
Lineage: Eukaryota
Description: partial 18S ribosomal RNA
Rfam family: Eukaryotic small subunit ribosomal RNA
Source: RNAcentral
UGUAAGCGUAUGCCAAAGUUGUUGCAGUUAAAACGCUCGUAGUCGGAAUUUGGCAGUUCCGGAUGUGUGCACGUCGUGUGCGCACUUCGCGGGGAUUGCUUUGUGGUCUUGCGUAGGAUGAGGCACUUUUAUUAGUGAACGUCCUCACGCAACCACUUUUUACUGUGAGAAAAUCAGAGUGCUCAAAGCAGGCAUUUGCCGUGAAUGUAUUAGCAUGGAAUAAUAGAAUAGGACUUGGUUCUAUUUUGUUGGUUUGUUGGGACUGAGUAAUGAUUAAGAGGGACAGUUGGGGGCAUUUGUAUUUCGGUGCUAGAGGUGAAAUUCUUAGAUUACCGAAAGACAAACUGCUGCGAAAGCGUCUGCCAAGGAUGUUUUCAUUGA